Macrobrachium nipponense is the source of this 763-nucleotide long non-coding RNA. RefSeq lists it as uncharacterized. The record is from RefSeq and is a predicted model, not a curated record. The transcript is spliced from 4 exons. Lineage: Eukaryota; Metazoa; Arthropoda; Malacostraca; Decapoda; Palaemonidae.
AGGACGCUUUUAGUCAGCAAAUACUGCAUACGGUCUCCUGCAAUUGAACAUAACAGUGUCAACUCAGUAACAUUUUCUGCUCUCUUACUUUCAAAGUGUUUAGUUGCUUCAGGUGGAAAGAUGUUGAGAAUCUUCGUCAAGUUCUUCCUGGUUGCUGUGUUGUGCAUUUGCUGGACCCAUGGACGCGUAGUUGAAGCUCCAGUGAAGAAUGCCCUUGAGAAUGUCCCAAAGCAAGACUGGGAUUAUGAUGGUCUUGUCUGCGUCCCCGUUUAUCCAUAUGAUGCAGUAGAAGGGAUGGAGGAGUGGUGCAAUAUUAAUUGCAAUUGGGUUCCUCAAUACUGCCCCGAAACUCACUGCUAUUGUGUGGAUUACACUCCCAUGAUCUGUGAUCCAGAUGCAAAAUAAACUGCAAAAAGGAACAGAAUUUUGCCAACUGACUAUUUCACCCAAUCAGACCUUCUGAAUUUAUCCUAUGUCAAGUGGUUUGACAUUGUAUUCAUUCUGGAAGCAAUUCUAAAUGAGCACAUUAUUUCGGAACUUUUCCGGUUGUUGAGUGUAUUGAAAUGUUAUGCUUUUAACUUGUAAUUAAUUCUAAAUGAGCACAACAUUAUAAAAUUUACUAAUUCAGGAGUCUGUCAUAAAAUGAUGAUUUAUAAUGUUUGGGAAACGAUGCACAUUGUUUUUUCAGUAGAUUGGAUUCUUUUGGAUUUUUGUUAGUUACUUAGCAAAGGUUAUUAACUAAUAAAGACUGAAUGAAGCACAA